Molecule: transfer RNA, 85 nt
Filed under: Acidobacteriota bacterium
Lineage: Bacteria; Pseudomonadati; Acidobacteriota
Description: Acidobacteria bacterium tRNA-Leu
Rfam family: tRNA
About the family: Transfer RNA (tRNA) molecules are approximately 80 nucleotides in length. Their secondary structure includes four short double-helical elements and three loops (D, anti-codon, and T loops).
Source: RNAcentral
GCGAAAGUGGCGGAACUGGCAGACGCGAUAGACUUAGGAUCUAUUGGGGAAACCCGUGGGGGUUCGAGUCCCCCCUUUCGCACCA